AUGGCUGGACACCUUCUGUUUGUCAUCCUCAUGUCUUUCGUUCAUGAGAUUCAAGCACAAGCUUUUCUUCCACCAACACUGACAGUGAACACAACAGUGAUCUCAGAGAGAGACUUGGUCACAUUUCACUGUCAGGCACCAACAUCUGUUUCAGUUCAUCAGUGUUUUUUCUACACUGUGGAGAAAAAUACUUCCAAAGCCUUCUCAUGCCUGCAGAAUUUCACUGCAACAGAACUGUUGUUAAUGUCACAUCAGAGUUCACCUGCUGAAGUUAAAGUGAAAUGUUUUUACACUGGAGAACUAAAUUCAACGUCUGCGCACAGUGAACCAUCCUCCAUCACCAUAAAAAGUCAGAAACCACAGAUGAGAGUUCAGCAUUUUAAUGGAGAACAAGUUCAGUUUGUUUGCUCUCUGCCUGGAUCUGUGAAAGAUGAUACAAGAUGUAAUCUGUACUUUGGAGAAGCAAGUCGUUCAGUCCUGACAGCAACUGUCUGGAAGAAAAGCAGCACAGAAACCAAACAGAGGUUCUGCCAGUUUUAUGUCUCAAUUGAUGAUUUUUUGAGACAUCUACAUUUUGUUCAACAAAAAGAAGCCAGCUGUGAUUACACUUUGAAAAGGGAACCCAGGUCUUUGUCUCCUCGCAGUGAUCAAUACAACUUAACAGGUAAGUCAAAGAUAAACAGACUUUAUAGUACAGAUGCUACUUUAAUUAAUUAA
RNAcentral lists this long non-coding RNA (717 nucleotides) under Oreochromis niloticus (Nile tilapia). RNAcentral's name for it is "lncRNA (ENSONIG00000023840.2)". The record is from RNAcentral. Lineage: Eukaryota; Metazoa; Chordata; Actinopteri; Cichliformes; Cichlidae.